UACGAAGGGGGCUAGCGUUGUUCGGAUUUACUGGGCGUAAAGCGCACGUAGGCGGAUCGUUAAGUCAGGGGUGAAAUCCUGGGGCUCAACCCCAGAACUGCCUUUGAUACUGGCGAUCUCGAGUCCGGAAGAGGUGAGUGGAACUCCUAGUGUAGAGGUGGAAUUCGUAGAUAUCGGGAAGAACACCAAAGGCGAAAGCGCUCUGCUGGGCCGAAACUGACACUGAGAGACGAAAGCUAGGGGAGCGAAUGGG
RNAcentral lists this ribosomal RNA (253 nucleotides) under uncultured bacterium. Its description in RNAcentral is "partial 16S ribosomal RNA". It matches the Rfam family "Bacterial small subunit ribosomal RNA", at positions 524 to 776 of the family's 1533-position model. The record is from RNAcentral.